UGGGGAAUAUUGGACAAUGGGGGCAACCCUGAUCCAGCCAUGCCGCGUGAGUGAUGAAGGCCUUCGGGUUGUAAAGCUCUUUUGGCGGGGACGAUGAUGACGGUACCCGCAGAAUAAGCCCCGGCUAACUUCGUGCCAGCAGCCGCGGUAAGACGAAGGGGGCUAGCGUUGUUCGGAAUUACUGGGCGUAAAGCGCGUGUAGGCGGUUAUCCAAGUCGGGUGUGAAAGCCUUGAGCUCAACUCAAGAAAUGCACUCGGUACUGGGUGACUAGAGGACCGGAGAGGAUAGUGGAAUUCCCAGUGUAGUGGUGAAAUACGUAGAGAUUGGGAAGAACACCAGUGGCGAAGGCGGCUAUCUGGACGGUUUCUGACGCUAAGACGCGAAAGCGUGGGGAGCAAACAGGAUUAGAUACCCUGGUAGUCCACGCCGUAAACGAUGGGUGCUAGACGUUGGCGAGCUUGCUCGUCAGUGUCGCAGCUAACGCGUUAAGCACCCCGCCUGGGGAGUACGGCCGCAAGGUUGA
Molecule: ribosomal RNA, 524 nt
Filed under: uncultured Alphaproteobacteria bacterium
Lineage: Bacteria; Pseudomonadati; Pseudomonadota; Alphaproteobacteria
Description: bacterial SSU rRNA
Rfam family: Bacterial small subunit ribosomal RNA
Source: RNAcentral